This 539-nucleotide ribosomal RNA is filed under the name uncultured Serratia sp. Its description in RNAcentral is "bacterial SSU rRNA". It matches the Rfam family "Bacterial small subunit ribosomal RNA", at positions 976 to 1516 of the family's 1533-position model. Lineage: Bacteria; Pseudomonadati; Pseudomonadota; Gammaproteobacteria; Enterobacterales; Yersiniaceae. The record is from RNAcentral.
CACUCUUGACAUCCAGAGAAUUUAGCAGAGAUGCUUUAGUGCUUCGGGAACUCUGAGACAGGUGCUGCAUGGCUGUCGUCAGCUCGUGUUGUGAAAUGUUGGGUUAAGUCCCGCAACGAGCGCAACCCUUAUCCUUUGUUGCCAGCGAUUCGGUCGGGAACUCAAAGGAGACUGCCAGUGAUAAACUGGAGGAAGGUGGGGAUGACGUCAAGUCAUCAUGGCCCUUACGAGUAGGGCUACACACGUGCUACAAUGGCGUAUACAAAGAGAAGCGACCUCGCGAGAGCAAGCGGACCUCAUAAAGUACGUCGUAGUCCGGAUUGGAGUCUGCAACUCGACUCCAUGAAGUCGGAAUCGCUAGUAAUCGUAGAUCAGAAUGCUACGGUGAAUACGUUCCCGGGCCUUGUACACACCGCCCGUCACACCAUGGGAGUGGGUUGCAAAAGAAGUAGGUAGCUUAACCUUCGGGAGGGCGCUUACCACUUUGUGAUUCAUGACUGGGGUGAAGUCGUAACAAGGUAACCAAGGGCGAAUUCCAG